Molecule: long non-coding RNA, 281 nt
Filed under: Bos taurus (domestic cattle)
Lineage: Eukaryota; Metazoa; Chordata; Mammalia; Artiodactyla; Bovidae
Description: long non-coding RNA NONBTAT011023
Source: RNAcentral
UUUCAUAGACCGUCAUAGUUAGGCAUUAGUUUAACAGAAAAAAAAAAAGAAUGAAAUUAAGCAAAGUACUAUAAAGGAAGACAUUGGUGUGGAUAAGAGAGCAUGGUAAUAGAAAAAGAAAGAUGUGAAUGUGUUCCUUUAGUUUUUAAUAUGUGAAAUCAGUGUUUUUAAUAUGAAACAUCAAAAUAAGUGAAGCAGGCCAAUACACAUCUGAGAUUUAACAUAGGCAUUAAAUGGCCUGUAGAAGUUAACAAGAUAGAAAACACAUUCUGGUAUGUGUC